RNAcentral lists this ribosomal RNA (623 nucleotides) under uncultured bacterium. RNAcentral describes it as "bacterial SSU rRNA". It matches the Rfam family "Bacterial small subunit ribosomal RNA", at positions 60 to 655 of the family's 1533-position model. The record is from RNAcentral.
AGCGAGCGGAACUAACAGAUUUACUUCGGUAAUGACGUUAGGAAAGCGAGCGGCGGAUGGGUGAGUAACACGUGGGGAACCUGCCCCAUAGUCUGGGAUACCACUUGGAAACAGGUGCUAAUACCGGAUAAGAAAGCAGAUCGCAUGAUCAGCUUUUAAAAGGCGGCGUAAGCUGUCGCUAUGGGAUGGCCCCGCGGUGCAUUAGCUAGUUGGUAAGGUAAAGGCUUACCAAGGCGAUGAUGCAUAGCCGAGUUGAGAGACUGAUCGGCCACAUUGGGACUGAGACACGGCCCAAACUCCUACGGGAGGCAGCAGUAGGGAAUCUUCCACAAUGGACGCAAGUCUGAUGGAGCAACGCCGCGUGAGUGAAGAAGGUUUUCGGAUCGUAAAGCUCUGUUGUUGGUGAAGAAGGAUAGAGGUAGUAACUGGCCUUUAUUUGACGGUAAUCAACCAGAAAGUCACGGCUAACUACGUGCCAGCAGCCGCGGUAAUACGUAGGUGGCAAGCGUUGUCCGGAUUUAUUGGGCGUAAAGCGAGCGCAGGCGGAAGAAUAAGUCUGAUGUGAAAGCCCUCGGCUUAACCGAGGAACUGCAUCGGAAACUGUUUUUCUUGAGUGCAGAAGA